This 1736-nucleotide ribosomal RNA is filed under the name Escherichia coli. RNAcentral's name for it is "partial 23S ribosomal RNA". It matches the Rfam family "Bacterial large subunit ribosomal RNA", at positions 585 to 2305 of the family's 2925-position model. Lineage: Bacteria; Pseudomonadati; Pseudomonadota; Gammaproteobacteria; Enterobacterales; Enterobacteriaceae. The record is from RNAcentral.
UUAAUGGGGUGACUGCGUACCUUUUGUAUAAUGGGUCAGCGACUUAUAUUCUGUAGCAAGGUUAACCGAAUAGGGGAGCCGAAGGGAAACCGAGUCUUAACUGGGCGUUAAGUUGCAGGGUAUAGACCCGAAACCCGGUGAUCUAGCCAUGGGCAGGUUGAAGGUUGGGUAACACUAACUGGAGGACCGAACCGACUAAUGUUGAAAAAUUAGCGGAUGACUUGUGGCUGGGGGUGAAAGGCCAAUCAAACCGGGAGAUAGCUGGUUCUCCCCGAAAGCUAUUUAGGUAGCGCCUCGUGAAUUCAUCUCCGGGGGUAGAGCACUGUUUCGGCAAGGGGGUCAUCCCGACUUACCAACCCGAUGCAAACUGCGAAUACCGGAGAAUGUUAUCACGGGAGACACACGGCGGGUGCUAACGUCCGUCGUGAAGAGGGAAACAACCCAGACCGCCAGCUAAGGUCCCAAAGUCAUGGUUAAGUGGGAAACGAUGUGGGAAGGCCCAGACAGCCAGGAUGUUGGCUUAGAAGCAGCCAUCAUUUAAAGAAAGCGUAAUAGCUCACUGGUCGAGUCGGCCUGCGCGGAAGAUGUAACGGGGCUAAACCAUGCACCGAAGCUGCGGCAGCAACACUAUGUGUUGUUGGGUAGGGGAGCGUUCUGUAAGCCUGUGAAGGUGGCCUGUGAGGGUUGCUGGAGGUAUCAGAAGUGCGAAUGCUGACAUAAGUAACGAUAAAGCGGGUGAAAAGCCCGCUCGCCGGAAGACCAAGGGUUCCUGUCCAACGUUAAUCGGGGCAGGGUGAGUCGACCCCUAAGGCGAGGCCGAAAGGCGUAGUCGAUGGAAAACAGGUUAAUAUUCCUGUACUUGGUGUUACUGCGAAGGGGGGACGGAGAAGGCUAUGUUGGCCGGGCGACGGUUGUCCCGGUUUAAGCGUGUAGGCUGGUUUUCCAGGCAAAUCCGGAAAAUCAAGGCUGAGGCGUGAUGACGAGGCACUACGGUGCUGAAGCGACAAAUGCCCUGCUUCCAGGAAAAGCCUCUAAGCAUCAGGUAACAUCAAAUCGUACCCCAAACCGACACAGGUGGUCAGGUAGAGAAUACCAAGGCGCUUGAGAGAACUCGGGUGAAGGAACUAGGCAAAAUGGUGCCGUAACUUCGGGAGAAGGCACGCUGAUAUGUAGGUGAAGCGACUUGCUCGUGGAGCUGAAAUCAGUCGAAGAUACCAGCUGGCUGCAACUGUUUAUUAAAAACACAGCACUGUGCAAACACGAAAGUGGACGUAUACGGUGUGACGCCUGCCCGGUGCCGGAAGGUUAAUUGAUGGGGUUAGCGGUAACGCGAAGCUCUUGAUCGAAGCCCCGGUAAACGGCGGCCGUAACUAUAACGGUCCUAAGGUAGCGAAAUUCCUUGUCGGGUAAGUUCCGACCUGCACGAAUGGCGUAAUGAUGGCCAGGCUGUCUCCACCCGAGACUCAGUGAAAUUGAACUCGCUGUGAAGAUGCAGUGUACCCGCGGCAAGACGGAAAGACCCCGUGAACCUUUACUAUAGCUUGACACUGAACAUUGAGCCUUGAUGUGUAGGAUAGGUGGGAGGCUUUGAAGUGUGGACGCCAGUCUGCAUGGAGCCGACCUUGAAAUACCACCCUUUAAUGUUUGAUGUUCUAACGUGGGCCCCUUACCGGGGUUGCGGACAGUGUCUGGUGGGUAGUUUGACUGGGGCGGUCUCCUCCUAAAGAGUAACGGAG